This 253-nucleotide ribosomal RNA is filed under the name uncultured bacterium. Its description in RNAcentral is "partial 16S ribosomal RNA". It matches the Rfam family "Bacterial small subunit ribosomal RNA", at positions 524 to 776 of the family's 1533-position model. The record is from RNAcentral.
UACGAAGGGGGCUAGCGUUGCUCGGAAUCACUGGGCGUAAAGCGCACGUAGGCGGAUUGCUAAGUCAGGGGUGAAAUCCUGGAGCUCAACUCCAGAACUGCCUUUGAUACUGGAAAGCUCGAGUCCGGAAGAGGUGAGUGGAACUGCGAGUGUAGAGGUGAAAUUCGUAGAUAUUCGCAAGAACACCAGUGGCGAAGGCGGCUCACUGGUCCGGUACUGACGCUGAGGUGCGAAAGCGUGGGGAGCAAACAGG